CGGAGCAUGCGGCUUAAUUCGACGCAACGCGAAGAACCUUUACCAAGGCUUGACAUAUACAGGAAUAUGGCAGAGAUGUCAUAGCCGCAAGGUCUGUAUACAGGUGGUGCAUGGUUGUCGUCAGCUCGUGUCGUGAGAUGUUGGGUUAAGUCCCGCAACGAGCGCAACCCUCGUUCUGUGUUGCCAGCAUUUAGUUGGGGACUCACAGGAGACUGCCGGGGUUAACUCGGAGGAAGGUGGGGAUGACGUCAAAUCAUCAUGCCCCUUAUGUCUUGGGCUGCACGCAUGCUACAAUGGCUGGUACAAACGGCUGCAAUACCGCAAGGUGGAGCGAAUCCGAUAAAGCCAGUCUCAGUUCGGAUUGGGGUCUGCAACUCGACCCCAUGAAGUCGGAGUUGCUAGUAAUCGUAGAUCAGCAACGCUACGGUGAAUACGUUCCCGGGGCUUGUACACACCGCCCGUCACGUCACGAAAGUCGGUAACACCCGAAGUCAGUGGCCCAACCGCAGGGAG
RNAcentral lists this ribosomal RNA (513 nucleotides) under uncultured Actinomycetes bacterium. Its description in RNAcentral is "bacterial SSU rRNA". It matches the Rfam family "Bacterial small subunit ribosomal RNA", at positions 933 to 1448 of the family's 1533-position model. The record is from RNAcentral. Lineage: Bacteria; Bacillati; Actinomycetota; Actinomycetes.